UUGCUCUGACAGUAUAUUUAUAUAAAACUGAAAUGAUACAGAGAUAAUUAGCAUGGCCCCUGCACAA
RNAcentral lists this small nuclear RNA (67 nucleotides) under Mus caroli (Ryukyu mouse). The record is from RNAcentral. Lineage: Eukaryota; Metazoa; Chordata; Mammalia; Rodentia; Muridae.